RNAcentral lists this ribosomal RNA (408 nucleotides) under Mediterraneibacter gnavus. RNAcentral describes it as "bacterial SSU rRNA". It matches the Rfam family "Bacterial small subunit ribosomal RNA", at positions 1 to 391 of the family's 1533-position model. Lineage: Bacteria; Bacillati; Bacillota; Clostridia; Lachnospirales; Lachnospiraceae. The record is from RNAcentral.
UUUAACGAGAGUUUGAUCCUGGCUCAGGAUGAACGCUGGCGGCGUGCUUAACACAUGCAAGUCGAGCGAAGCACCUUGACGGAUUUCUUCGGAUUGAAGCCUUGGUGACUGAGCGGCGGACGGGUGAGUAACGCGUGGGUAACCUGCCUCAUACAGGGGGAUAACAGUUGGAAACGGCUGCUAAUACCGCAUAAGCGCACAGUACCGCAUGGUACGGUGUGAAAAACUCCGGUGGUAUGAGAUGGACCCGCGUCUGAUUAGGUAGUUGGUGGGGUAACGGCCUACCAAGCCGACGAUCAGUAGCCGACCUGAGAGGGUGACCGGCCACAUUGGGACUGAGACACGGCCCAAACUCCUACGGGAGGCAGCAGUGGGGAAUAUUGCACAAUGGGGGAAACCCUGAUGCAG